AGGUUCAAGUGAUUCUUGUGCCUCAGCCUCCUAAGUAGCUGGGACUAGAGGCGUGCACCACCACCCCCAGCCCUCCUGGAAUUCAACGUUCUUCAUCUGACUGCUACUUGAGAAACUCCCCUGGCUACUCUUAUAUAUAACCAUCACCCAGAACUAAUAGAGCUCUGAAAUUUUGAAUGGUAUGAUACCCCCCGCACACACACAAGUAUAGUCAAUGGAUUUUUGAGAAACGUGCAAAAGCUGUUCAAUGGAGGAAGAAUAGUCUUUUCAACAAUAUUUGAAACUAGUGUUCUGGAAAAUUUCCUUUGAAAGAAUGAAAAGAAGCUACACACUGAGAGAAAAUAUUUGCAAACCACAUAUCUAGCAAAAGACUAGUAUCUAGAAUAUAUAAAGACCUUUCAAAAUGUAAUAGUUAUAAAACAGUUAAAAAGCAAAACAAUCUAGUUAGAAA
RNAcentral lists this long non-coding RNA (451 nucleotides) under Homo sapiens (human). RNAcentral's name for it is "non-protein coding lnc-ESRRG-5:1". Lineage: Eukaryota; Metazoa; Chordata; Mammalia; Primates; Hominidae. The record is from RNAcentral.